GGGUCCGUAGGUUGGUCGUGCCACCGGUACGUACUGGUCUCACUGAUUCCUCCUUCCUGAAGAACCGUAAUGCCAUUAAUUUGGUGUUGCGGGGAAACAGGUCUGUUACUUUGAAAAAAUUAGAGUGUUUAAAGCAAGCUAACGCUUGAAUACAUUAGCAUGGAAUAAUGAAAUAGGACGAUCGAUCCUAUUUUGUUGGUUUCUAGGAUUGACGUA
This 216-nucleotide ribosomal RNA is filed under the name Glomeromycotina sp. RNAcentral describes it as "partial small subunit ribosomal RNA". The stretch from base 40 to 216 matches the Rfam family "Eukaryotic small subunit ribosomal RNA", at positions 686 to 864 of the family's 1831-position model. The record is from RNAcentral. Lineage: Eukaryota; Fungi; Glomeromycota.